This 657-nucleotide ribosomal RNA is filed under the name Triticum aestivum (bread wheat). RNAcentral describes it as "partial small subunit ribosomal RNA". Lineage: Eukaryota; Viridiplantae; Streptophyta; Magnoliopsida; Poales; Poaceae. The record is from RNAcentral.
AUGGCGAGCAAUUUACAGAACAAAAGUCCACUCACAAGGGAGUUUCGACUCGAGUUCUUACAAAGUAUUACGAAUAAUUUUUCUGACGACCGCAUAAUUGGCAAGGGUGGGUUUGGAGUAGUUUACAAGGGAGUAUUGGACAAUGGGGAAGAGAUUGCCCUGAAGAAACUUAAUCACACAGGGCUUGACGACAAGGAAUUUACAAAUGAGUUCAAUAACAUUAUUAGGGCUCAUCAUCAAAACAUUGUACAGUUUGUUGGCUAUUGCUACCAUCCAGGUACUAGCUGGAUAAUGCACGAUGGACAAUAUAUCUUUGCUCAUGAGCCAAUAAGAAUUCUUUGCUUUGAAUAUUUGCACGGUGGAAACCUUGAGAGUCUCCUUUCUGAUGAGCAGCCAUGCAGACCUGAUUGGCAGACAUGUUACAAAAUAAUUAAGGGAGUCAGUCAGGGUUUGAAUUAUCUUCAUAAUGCACAUGAAGAAUCUAUUUAUCAUCUAGACUUAAAGCCGGCCAAUGUAUUGCUGGACAACAAUAUGAUUCCGAAAAUUGGAGAUUUUGGUAUAUCAAGAAUCUUCUCAUUAACAAAAACCAUUACCACUGCAACACGAAUGAUGGGGACACUAAUAUAUCAACAAACAAGAAAUCUCACCAAAAUAUGA